UGACACAGCUGACUACGCCCUUGGUC
This 26-nucleotide non-coding RNA is filed under the name Homo sapiens (human). The record is from RNAcentral. Lineage: Eukaryota; Metazoa; Chordata; Mammalia; Primates; Hominidae.